UUUCAAUAUAAAAAAAAAAGUGUUUUCAAGUGUAAUAUUUCUGUAAAGGGACAGAAAAGUUGACUUUUCUGUAGAAUGACCCAUUCAUUGUAAAAUGAAGCAGUAACUUCAACCUACUACUAACUAAUUAAAGAUGUCAUCAGAUCAUGUGUGCUUUCAGCAGUUAUCAUUUUAAACAUCAAAAUCAUGAUGCCCCCCAAUAGUAGGCUACUGAAUAUAAGAUGUGGGAUAAUAUAAGAAUGGGACAUUUUAUCCAAGUCAUCUCAAUGGUAAAAAGUGUCCCAAUCACCCUGAACUGGAGCUCUAAAAUAAUGUUAUUGACUUCAACUGAUGAAUGCAGCCAAAGAAAAGAUGAAGAAUGGAAAAGCACUUUGCUGGCAAAGAAAUUGGAAAAUAACACAGGUUACGCGCAUGUAUCCAUGGCAACGCUCGGCUGCGUCGACAGUUAACGGUCCUGCCGGUGAUUUUCUCAGAUGAGGCCUUGAGUUUUCUCUUUCGUCGGUCGAAAAGGUUAGAAGCCAUCGAAAAAACUGCCAUCGGACUACCACAGCUGACAACGAGAGACGCGCGUGCACAACUGCAUAACACACACACACACACACACACACACACACACACGGAAAGAGCACAACAAUUAUGAAACUGCUCAUUUAUUAUAAAUAAAUAAAUGUAUUUUUCUCCUUA
This is a long non-coding RNA of Megalobrama amblycephala (Wuchang bream), 684 nucleotides long. RefSeq lists it as uncharacterized. Lineage: Eukaryota; Metazoa; Chordata; Actinopteri; Cypriniformes; Xenocyprididae. The transcript is spliced from 3 exons. The record is from RefSeq and is a predicted model, not a curated record.